GUGGAUUAGAUACCCUGGUAGUCCACGCCGUAAACGUUGGGUACUAGGUGUGGGGUCUUAUCAACGGAUUCCGUGCCGAAGCUAACGCAUUAAGUACCCCGCCUGGGGAGUACGGCCGCAAGGCUAAAACUCAAAGGAAUUGACGGGGGCCCGCACAAGCAGCGGAGCAUGUUGCUUAAUUCGAGGCAACGCGAAGAACCUUACCUGGGUUUGACAUGGUAGGAAAAGCCAUAGAGAUAUGGUGUCCUUUUGGGCCUAUCACAGGUGGUGCACGGCUGUCGCCAACU
RNAcentral lists this ribosomal RNA (287 nucleotides) under uncultured bacterium. Its description in RNAcentral is "partial 16S ribosomal RNA". It matches the Rfam family "Bacterial small subunit ribosomal RNA", at positions 773 to 1060 of the family's 1533-position model. The record is from RNAcentral.